RNAcentral lists this ribosomal RNA (784 nucleotides) under uncultured bacterium. RNAcentral's name for it is "bacterial SSU rRNA". It matches the Rfam family "Bacterial small subunit ribosomal RNA", at positions 28 to 810 of the family's 1533-position model. The record is from RNAcentral.
GAUGAACGCUGGCGGCGUGCUUAACACAUGCAAGUCGAACGAAGCACUUUAUUUGAUUUCCUUCGGGACUGAUUAUUUUGUGACUGAGUGGCGGACGGGUGAGUAACGCGUGGGUAACCUGCCUUGUACAGGGGGAUAACAGUUGGAAACGGCUGCUAAUACCGCAUAAGCGCACGGCAUCGCAUGAUGCAGUGUGAAAAACUCCGGUGGUAUAAGAUGGACCCGCGUUGGAUUAGCUAGUUGGUGAGGUAACGGCCCACCAAGGCGACGAUCCAUAGCCGACCUGAGAGGGUGACCGGCCACAUUGGGACUGAGACACGGCCCAAACUCCUACGGGAGGCAGCAGUGGGGAAUAUUGCACAAUGGGCGAAAGCCUGAUGCAGCGACGCCGCGUGAGCGAAGAUGUAUUUCGGUAUGUAAAGCUCUAUCAGCAGGGAAGAUAAUGACGGUACCUGACUAAGAAGCACCGGCUAAAUACGUGCCAGCAGCCGCGGUAAUACGUAUGGUGCAAGCGUUAUCCGGAUUUACUGGGUGUAAAGGGAGCGCAGGCGGUGCGGCAAGUCUGAUGUGAAAGCCCGGGGCUCAACCCCGGUACUGCAUUGGAAACUGUCGUACUAGAGUGUCGGAGGGGUAAGCGGAAUUCCUAGUGUAGCGGUGAAAUGCGUAGAUAUUAGGAGGAACACCAGUGGCGAAGGCGGCUUACUGGACGAUAACUGACGCUGAGGCUCGAAAGCGUGGGGAGCAAACAGGAUUAGAUACCCUGGUAGUCCACGCCGUAAACGAU